GAUGAAGAACGUAGUGAAAUGCGAUAAGUUGUGUGAAUUGCAGAAUUCAGUGAAUCAUCGAAUCUUUGAACGCACAUUGCGCCCCAUGGUAUUCCGUGGGGCAUGCCUGUUCGAGCGUCAUUUACCCCCUCAAGCUCCGCUUGGUGUUGGGCGUCUGUCCCGCUUCGCGCGCGGACUCGCCCCAAAGGUAUUGGCAGCGGUCGUGCCAGCUUCUCGCGCAGCACAUUGCGCUUCUCGAGGCACCGGUGGGCCCGCGUCCAUCAAGCUCACCCCCCCAGUUUGACCUCGGAUCAGGUAGGGAUACCCGCUGAACUUAAGCAUAUCAAUAAGCGGAGGA
RNAcentral lists this unclassified non-coding RNA (337 nucleotides) under soil metagenome. RNAcentral's name for it is "partial contains 5.8S ribosomal RNA, internal transcribed spacer 2, and large subunit ribosomal RNA". The stretch from base 1 to 120 matches the Rfam family "5.8S ribosomal RNA", at positions 35 to 154 of the family's 154-position model. The record is from RNAcentral.